UUCUUUUUACCAAACAACAGAUCUGUGUCCUGCGAUCCCGUUCCAUGAAGCUAUUCGUUCGCGUCUAGUCUGAAUGUGUUUCGGUCGUAUUGCUUGACAGUUCGACGACCCAUGGAGCCAUCCAUCUGGUGUAUAGCCGUUUUUCUCAUGAUGUCAAUUUCCGGUCGACAGAUCUCAGAUGAAGAUUCAGCGCUGGGAUUAUAACACUCUGCCUUGAGCUUCCUUCGGUUGAGCUCGGUGAGAUGGCCCGGGCCUGCUGUGGGCGUCAUAUUCCAUCUCUCUUUGCCGAUGGCCGUCGGUUGGUGAGGUUAGGGAAAAACCAUGACAGCCAACAUAU
This is a non-coding RNA of Trichophyton benhamiae CBS 112371, 337 nucleotides long. Lineage: Eukaryota; Fungi; Ascomycota; Eurotiomycetes; Onygenales; Arthrodermataceae. The record is from Rfam.